UACGUAGGUGGCAAGCGUUGUCCGGAUUUAUUGGGUUUAAAGGGUGCGUAGGCGGCUUUGUAAGUCAGUGGUGAAAUAUGGCAGCUCAACUGUCAGGGUGCCAUUGAUACUGCGGAGCUUGAGUACAGAUGAGGUAGGCGGAAUUGACGGUGUAGCGGUGAAAUGCUUAGAUAUGACACAGAACACCGAUUGCGAAGGCAGCUCUCAAAACUGUAACUGACGCUGAGGCACGAAAGCGUGGGUAUCAAACAGG
RNAcentral lists this ribosomal RNA (253 nucleotides) under uncultured bacterium. Its description in RNAcentral is "partial 16S ribosomal RNA". It matches the Rfam family "Bacterial small subunit ribosomal RNA", at positions 524 to 776 of the family's 1533-position model. The record is from RNAcentral.